This is a long non-coding RNA of Gallus gallus (chicken), 565 nucleotides long. The record is from Ensembl. Lineage: Eukaryota; Metazoa; Chordata; Aves; Galliformes; Phasianidae.
CAGAGGGGGUUGCAGGGCUGCGAGGGCACAGAAAGCAUGGCUGGAUGGAGAGGUGCUGGGAAAUGUGGUGCACCCGCCUGCUUUGUCCUCAGUGGUGCAUGGAGCUGCAGCUGCUCCCAUCGUGGUUUUGUGCCCUAAUUGUUGGUCUCUGGUUGACCCCCAAUGAGGGCGGGUUGGCUCUCUCUCAUUGCCUUGGGCUGAUCUCCUCCUUGGCCAUCAGGAAUCGCUAUCGCGGAGGACUCGUUGCCAAGCUGUCUGCAGAGAAGACGUUUCUUGGACUGGAGGCUCUCCUCUCUCCUCCUUCCAUCCCCUCCUUUGCCAGAAUUCUGCUGUGGCCACGGAUAACGCCUGUGAAAUUCAACUGUAAAGAUGGUUUUCUGGAGAAAUGUAGGCUGUGAAAUCGGGCUUAGAAGUGAGCGCAAACGACACCCUUAACUGUGGAGUCCUUAGCCGGGCUUAGAAGGAUGCUAAUCCCCAUCUGCCAUAGAGGCUAGAGAGACCUGGAAUAAGAGAGCAGUCCAUGCUGGACCCUGCUGAGCUGCUUGACCCCAUGGGCGAACUGAUG